AAAGGAGUAGGUCCGGUAAGGGCAGAUUUUGGCCUCAAAUUUUAGGUUCAUCUAACGAAAGUUUUUUGACACUUUUUAAACACUUAAGUGUCUAUUUCAAUUGAUUCGAUUAGUUUAUGUGAAAGAUUUUAACUGAUUUAGUCAUUAAAAACGCUCGGAUUCAAGCUUAAAUAAGAAAAAUCUAUCAAAUAUGCCAAAAAACGUCACUUUUCAGAUGGUUUUUGUCAAAAAUGAAAG
This 237-nucleotide long non-coding RNA is filed under the name Mytilus galloprovincialis (Mediterranean mussel). Lineage: Eukaryota; Metazoa; Mollusca; Bivalvia; Mytilida; Mytilidae. The record is from RNAcentral.